UUGACUAAGAACUGUCAUGACACAGGCUUCCCACCUGGGCUGCACUCUGAUCCCUGGCACAUCGUCUUGUCUCCAGAGAAAUGAAGUCACUGCAUUCUUUAAUGCCAUCAUCUCUUCCCUCAUUGAGAGUCUCAGCACGAUUUGAGAAGGGACUCUAGAUUCAGCAAAGGAAGAAAAGGCUGUCCCAGCUCCUCAAGCCUGCACCAACCCUGCCCAUCACUCCUGAGGACAGAGGCAUUCAAUGAUGACCUGAAUUCCCUGUCACAGGCCAUGGGGCUGCAUCGGGCUGUGUAUCUGUGCAUCAGGGCCACUCACACUGGAGGAUAAUAAGAAGCACUGGCAAGUGUGUCCUAUGUAUUUAUUUAUU
Leopardus geoffroyi (Geoffroy's cat) is the source of this 367-nucleotide long non-coding RNA. RefSeq lists it as uncharacterized. NCBI's taxonomy places the organism in Eukaryota, Metazoa, Chordata, Mammalia, Carnivora, Felidae. The transcript is spliced from 2 exons. The record is from RefSeq and is a predicted model, not a curated record.